This 253-nucleotide ribosomal RNA is filed under the name uncultured bacterium. Its description in RNAcentral is "partial 16S ribosomal RNA". It matches the Rfam family "Bacterial small subunit ribosomal RNA", at positions 524 to 776 of the family's 1533-position model. The record is from RNAcentral.
UACGUAGGCAGCAAGCGUUGUUCGGAGUUACUGGGCGUAAAGGGUGUGUAGGCGGUUGUUUAAGUUUGGUGUGAAAUCUCCCGGCUCAACUGGGAGGGUGCGCCGAAUACUGAAUGACUAGAGUGCGGGAGAGGUGAGUGGAAUUCCUGGUGUAGCGGUGAAAUGCGUAGAUAUCAGGAGGAACACCGGUGGUGUAGACGGCUCACUGGACCGUAACUGACGCUGAAACACGAAAGCGUGGGUAGCAAACAGG